RNA transcript from Sander lucioperca (pikeperch), 4313 nucleotides. It is a transcript of the gene named ubiquitin specific peptidase 48, with no coding region annotated. NCBI's taxonomy places the organism in Eukaryota, Metazoa, Chordata, Actinopteri, Perciformes, Percidae. The transcript has 28 exons. The record is from RefSeq and is a predicted model, not a curated record.
AGCGUGGUAUCGUUAAAUGGAAAAUGCAGGGACAUUGACUUGCUAAUACUGCCGGGUCGGGCUAGCUACAUUUUAGCUAGCUAGCUAGCUACCAACCAUUAGCACGACGGUAGUCCUUAUUCCUGGCGUUACCCCGCAACAUUGUUUGUCGGGAUUCAUUGUGUUUCAGUGCUAUAUUUAUUGUUGCGAUGCAUGGUGUGCUACGUUUGCCUUUUACGUUUUAUAGGGUAGUGGGGAGACUAGUAAGCUAAAAUUAGCUGGCUAGGUUACGUAGCACCACAUAGCUAACGGAUUAUGGCGCCCCGUUUACAGUUGGAGAAAGCGGCUUGGCGUUGGGUGGAAACGGUAAAACCAGAAGAAAUCAGGCUGGAACAUAUCGAGCUAGCAUAUCGCGUCAAUCUCCCGGCCUGCAAGAGAGCAACCUGCAGGAGGAACUGCAAAGGGAAUCCCAACUGUCUUGUGGGGAUUGGUGAACAGGCGUGGCUUGGGGAUAUUGAUGAAAAUGCUUUCCACAAUAUCGAUGACCCAAAUUCAGAGCGUCGAGACAAGAACACAUUUGUUGGCCUGACAAACCUGGGUGCAACAUGUUACGUCAACACAUUCCUGCAAGUUUGGUUCCACAACCUGGAGCUGCGUAGGAGUCUCUAUCAGUGCCACAAUUCCCGAGCACAGGAACACAAUAUUGAGUCUGAUUACGAGCCUCAGUCCAUCUGUGAGCAUCUGCAGUAUCUGUUUGCCCUCCUGCAGAACAGCAACAGGAAGUACAUCGACCCUUCAGGGCUGGUCAAAGCACUGGGCCUGGACACAGGACAGCAGCAGGAUGCCCAGGAGUUUUCAAAGCUUUUCUUGUCUCUGUUGGAGGACACGCUGUCCAAGCAGAAGAGCCCCAACCUGCAGAAUGUCAUCCAGCGGCAAUUCUGUGGACAGUUCUCCUACGUUACUGUAUGUAACCAGUGUGGACGAUCAUCUGCGCUGCCGUCCCGAUUCUACGAGUUGGAGCUGAACAUCCAGGGCCACAAGAACCUCACAGAGUGUGUCACAGAGUUCCUGAAGGAAGAGAAGCUGGAUGGGGAGAACCGCUACUUCUGUGAGAGCUGUCAGAGUAAACAGAGCGCCACCCGAAGGAUCAAGCUGCACAACCUUCCUCCAACCCUCAACCUGCAGCUCAUGCGCUUUGUCUUUGAUAGACAAACAGGCCACAAGAAGAAGCUCAACACCUUUAUCAGUUUUCCAGAGCAGCUGGAUAUGGGGCCUUUCUUGGAAGGAAAAGAAGACCAGAAGUGUGUUUAUGAGCUGAGUGCGGUGCUCAUCCAUCGGGGCAUCAGUGCCUACUCGGGCCACUACAUCGCCCAUGUGAAGGACGCUCGCACCGGUGACUGGUACAAAUUCAAUGAUGAGGAAAUUGAGAAAAUGGAAGGCAAGAAGCUGCAGCUUGGCACUGAGGAGGACAUUGCUGAGACCGUCAAGUCCCAGGCACGAAAGCCAAAGUGCAGUAAAGGCUACCACUGCUCCAGAAAUGCCUACAUGCUGGUGUAUAAGGUCCAGGAAGAGGAGAAUGCAGAUCCCUCUAUGACCAAUGUCGAGGUGCCAGCCUUCCUUCAGAGGUUGGUGGACCAAGACAACCAUAAGUUUGAGGAGUGGUGCUGUGAGAUGGCCGACAUGAGAAAACAGAGCGUCGAUAAGGGCAAAGCCAAGCAUGAGGAGGUGAAGGAGCUCUACGAGCUUUUACCCGCAAAAGACGGCGAGCCAUAUGAGUUUAUUCCCCUGGACUGGUUGAAGAAGUGGCUAGAGGACUCCCCUUCCACAACAGAGAUCGACAAUUCCCUGUUCCUUUGUUCUCACGGCAAACUGCACCCAGACAAGGUGGCCGACUCCAAGAGGGUUUCCCUGCAAGCUGCUCAGCUCCUCUACGACCGCUACAGUGGAGGGCCGCGACUGGACGCUCGCUUGACUACCUCGUCGAAGUUGAGCCGGGGAGAAGGGGCCAACUUUGAACGCUGUGUGUUUACAAACAGCUCCUCUCUGUGUAGAGAGUGUGUUAGCCAGCGGUGCAGAGUGCUGCGGCUGAAGAACCAGCUCAACGAAGAUUUCAAGGAAAUCACCAACCUCGUCAAGCGCACGCUCAGUGGUGAGGGCUACUGGGUGAGCAAAUCAUCUCUGCGUAGCUGGAGGCAGUUGGCUUUAGAACAGCUGGAGGAGGACGAACACGAAACCAAACACAACAAUGGCCAGAUCAAUGGACAGGGACCACACAACAACAGCAAAGAGUUCGGCUCAGAGCUCUCAGAGGGCAACGAGGACGAGAUGAAGACUUUCAAUGAAGACAUUGUCUGCUGUCACGGGGGUCUGAGUAUUUUGGAGACUGAACGGAAGCUGGUUUCCUCUGAAGUUUGGACCAAGCUGAGGGAAUACUUUCCCAAAGCCCCAGAAUUCACCCAAAACAAAGAGUCCUGUCAGCAGUGCCUGACAUUAGAGCAGGAAGAAAAGGACAACGAGGCAGUGAGUAAGAUGAUGGCCCUGGACCAGAAGAACCAACUGCUCAACCUCUUUCAUGAGAAGAACCGGCCAACGCUCGCCAAGUGGCCUGAGGACACAGAUGUUCUUUACAUAGUCCCUCUGUAUUUUGUGGAUGAGUGGAGAAAAUUCAUCAGGAGGCCCACUAAAUCCUCCCCAGUGUCUAAUGUGGGCAACACUCUGCUACUCUGUCCCCACGGAGGCUUCAUGUUCACCUAUGACUCCCUCAUCAACGGAGACGCACAACAUGUAGCUCUGCUCUGGCCCAGCGAAUGGGAAGUGAUCAGCAGACUCUUCAUUGUGGACCAGCCAAUCUCCAUCCACUGCUUCAAACAGACCACACUAAGUGGUCCCACCACUCCAUACACUACUCAGCCUGAUCUCUGUUGGGAGUGCAGAGAGAGCUUCCUUUUCCAGCAGCAGAGGGAUCUCAGAGAGUAUACACAAGCAACCAUCUACAUCCGCAAAGUCCUUGAAGAUCAGAGGAUGAUAAAAGAAGCGGCUCCAGAACUGAACGCCAGCAGCUCUGAGGCAGAAGAGGAGAAGGAAGAACAUCCAAAAAUGGAUGGAGAGGGAGACCCAGACUUCAGCCAGUCACAAGAUGGUGCAAAGCGGAUUAAGUUGGAUGACAGCAGCACGGCAUCAGCAGCUGUACUUCCUGUGACCAACAUGACCAAACUAGGUGGAAUCAGGAGAAGCACUCGGCACAGGAAACUCCGAGGAGAGAAAGCACUCAUCGUUUCAGCUAAUCAGACACUUAAAGAGCUCAAAAUACAGAUUAUGCAUGCCUUCUCCGUGGCUCCGUUUGACCAGAACCUCUCCAUUGACGGAAAAAGUCUGACAGAUGACUCGGCCACGCUGGGUAGUCUGGGCGUCAUCCCGGAAAGCAUUAUCUGUCUAAAGGCUGAUGAGCCAAUAGCAGACUAUGAUGCAAUGGAUGAUGUCUAUCAAGGUGAAUGCUGUCAUCUUUACCUCCAAUACAUUACAUUAACUUUGUUUAAAAAAAGGUAAAUUAUGAUAACACUGUUUCUCAACUACUUCCUUCACAGUGAGUAUGCCUGAGGAGGGAUUUAAAGGCACUGGGCUUCUCGGGCACUGAGGAAAGCUGUGCUGUAGCUAUGCUUGAAUGGGACGGAUGACCGAUGGAUAUUAAAAAAAAAGAAGCUUGAAUUUGUCAAGUGUCCAUAUAUAAAUAAAUAAGUGCUUUAAUUUGUUUUUUUUACGUUUUAAGUAGGCUUCCUUUAAUAAAACUGUGACCGUGUUGCAAAGCUGCUGUUUUGCUCUACAUAAAGUUAGCUGGCCUUUGAUAUUUAAAAUUCCUAAUCAUUCUGAAGAACUGCGUGGCAGUGCUUCUACCUGACUAAUAGAAUCUGGUUGAGGAAGCUAAGUGGAUCUGUUCUACUCUUACUCAAGAAAAUGGGCUUUGUUUUUGACUCUUUUAAAUUAUGGCAGAAAUAAAAAUUAAAGACAAUGUUCUUUCUUUCUAUUAUGUGGAAGCUUGUGUUCUCACUUCAAAGUUUUCAGAUUUGUCGAAAGAAUGCACGAGUAACUGUUAAGUAUUACAAAUAUAUCUGCUCUUAAAUGUUAGAACAUUUAUUACCUCUACAGCAAAUCUAUAUCCAUAUACUCAUGUGGCAUUUAGAGAUACAUAGCUACACGGUAUGUAUAGAAGCUGAUUCCUGCAGAAGGUUCAGCAGUGCAAACCCCAGAGUUGGAAGUGAGAAAUGGAAUGCAAGCAGUGAUAUGUGCUGUUCUUUUCACUGUUAUUUCUUAUGGACAAUAAAGUUAUUUUCAAAGCA